Molecule: non-coding RNA, 213 nt
Organism: Pelobates cultripes (western spadefoot toad)
Lineage: Eukaryota; Metazoa; Chordata; Amphibia; Anura; Pelobatidae
Source: the annotation of a GenBank genome assembly
GGGAACAGGACAUUGCAUCAUUGGCAUGGACCCGUUAACACUUUAGUUUUAAUACCAUCAUAUUAAAACUACAACAUCCCUAACUCUGACCAUAUGGGACGCAAAACGAUCCACAAAACAUACAAACCACCACAUCUCCCCUGCAAAACCAAUAAAAGCAUUCACGUACCAAACUUCAACACCAACAUGUGGACCUGCCACGGCAACUCCCUU